UACGGAAGGCAACAGUGGGGAAUAUUGCACAAUGGGCGCAAGCCUGAUGCAGCCAUGCCGCGUGUAUGAAGAAGGCCUUCGGGUUGUAAAGUACUUUUCAGUCGUGAGGAAGGUGUUAAGGUUAAUAACCUUAGCAAUUGACGUUAGCGACAGAAGAAGCACCGGCUAACUCCGUGCCAGCAGCCGCGGUAAUACGGAGGGUGCGAGCGUUAAUCGGAAUUACUGGGCGUAAAGGGCACGCAGGCGGUUAAUUAAGUUGGAUGUGAAAUCCCCGGGCUUAACCUGGGAAUGGCAUUCAAGACUGGUUAGCUAGAGUCUUGUAGAGGGGGUAGAAUUCCAUGUGUAGCGGUGAAAUGCGUAGAGAUGUGGAGGAAUACCGGUGGCGAAGGCGGCCCCUGGACAAAGACUGACGCUCAUGUGCGAAAGCGUGGGGAGCAAACGAGGGAUUAGAUACC
RNAcentral lists this ribosomal RNA (455 nucleotides) under uncultured bacterium. RNAcentral's name for it is "bacterial SSU rRNA". It matches the Rfam family "Bacterial small subunit ribosomal RNA", at positions 340 to 786 of the family's 1533-position model. The record is from RNAcentral.